RNAcentral lists this long non-coding RNA (213 nucleotides) under Brassica napus (rape). RNAcentral's name for it is "long non-coding RNA (BNAP_LNC007930)". The record is from RNAcentral. Lineage: Eukaryota; Viridiplantae; Streptophyta; Magnoliopsida; Brassicales; Brassicaceae.
UUGGUGUUUGCCUUGAUUAAGGAUGGAAGAGGCGGAGAUGUUUGGAGUUCCAGGCUCUCGGUACUGCUUCGCCUGUUGAAGUCUCGAGGCGGUAUACUCCUGGCUUGAUGACUUCGACUAUCUUGUAUGGUCCUUCCCAGUUGGCUCCGAGCUUGCCGGCUUUCCACUCCUUAGUGUUUUCGAAGACCUUUCUUAAGACAAGGUUGCCCAUUU